GGACGUGAGGGCAAUCUGGCUGUGACAUCUGUCACCCCAUCGAUCGCCAGGGUUGAUUUGUCUGUUCUGGCUGGAUAGGCGGGUGUCCCCUUCUCCCCUCACCACUCCAUGUGUGUCCCUCCCUAAGCUGCUUGUUCGGUAGAAGAGGACAAACACCCACGAUAGAGCAGGCCUGUUUUCUCGGUCAAGGGUAUAGGAGUAGCUAAUGCGUCCCUGCUAGAACCUCCAAACAAGCUCUCAAGGUCCAUUUGACUUUAUGUAGUCAUUGCCUUCUUUUUUUCAGAAAAUAGAGUUUUCUGCAUAUUUUUGGGCCUUUAUAAAAGCAGGACACAUCUUU
Molecule: unclassified non-coding RNA, 337 nt
Organism: Fukomys damarensis (Damara mole-rat)
Lineage: Eukaryota; Metazoa; Chordata; Mammalia; Rodentia; Bathyergidae
Gene: 7SK
Rfam family: 7SK RNA
About the family: 7SK was discovered as an abundant small nuclear RNA in the mid-70s but a possible function has only recently been suggested. Two independent studies have found that 7SK RNA binds the CDK9/cyclin T complex (known as elongation factor P-TEFb).
Source: Ensembl